Molecule: non-coding RNA, 115 nt
Organism: Triticum aestivum (bread wheat)
Lineage: Eukaryota; Viridiplantae; Streptophyta; Magnoliopsida; Poales; Poaceae
Source: Rfam
UAUGUACUCUCUCCGUUUGGAAUUACUUGUCUCGGAAAUGGAUGUAUCUAGAAUUAAAAUACGUCUAGAUACAUCCGUUUCUGCGACAAGUAAUUCCGAACGGAGGGAGUAUGAA